Molecule: ribosomal RNA, 612 nt
Filed under: Acholeplasmataceae bacterium
Lineage: Bacteria; Bacillati; Mycoplasmatota; Mollicutes; Acholeplasmatales; Acholeplasmataceae
Description: bacterial SSU rRNA
Rfam family: Bacterial small subunit ribosomal RNA
Source: RNAcentral
UUUUAUGGAGAGUUUGAUCCUGGCUCAGGAUUAACGCUGGCGGUACGUCUAAUACAUGCAAGUCGAACGGAGCACUUGUGCUCAGUGGCGAACGGGUGAGUAACACGUAGGUAACCUGCCCUCAAGACGAGGAUAACAGUUGGAAACGAUUGCUAAUACUGGAUAGUAAUAGAAAAGGCAUCUAGACUAUUUUAAAGGUCCUUAUGGGACUACUUGAGGAGGGGCCUGCGGCGCAUUAGUUAGUUGGUGAGGUAACGGCUCACCAAGACGAUGAUGCGUAGCUGGACUGAUAGGUUGAACAGCCACACUGGGACUGAGAACGGCCCAGACUCCUACGGGAGGCAGCAGUAGAGAAUCUUCGGCAAUGGGGGGAACCCUGACCGAGCGAUACCGCGUGAAUGAAGAAAUACUUCGGUAUGUAAAGUUCUUUUAUAGAGGAUGAAUGACAUAUGUAGGAAAUGACAUAUGUAUGACAGUACUUUAGGAAUAAGCCCCGGCUAACUAUGUGCCAGCAGCCGCGGUAAUACAUAGGGGGCAAGCGUUAUCCGGAAUUAUUGGGCGUAAAGGGUGCGUAGGCGGCCAUUUAAGUUUGAGGUGUAAGUUCAAGGCUCA